AUACUGCAGUCCAGCACUAUAUGAAGGUAGCCACAUGGUCUUUGUAUCGUUUCAAACUGCAAAUAUUAAUGCUACUGACAAUAUAAUUGGCUUUAAUAUUUGUCUGUAUUGGGGCUUAUAUUUGUUGUAGCAACAUUUUU
Molecule: small nucleolar RNA, 140 nt
Filed under: Bombyx mori (domestic silkworm)
Lineage: Eukaryota; Metazoa; Arthropoda; Insecta; Lepidoptera; Bombycidae
Description: Bm_108
Source: RNAcentral